This 253-nucleotide ribosomal RNA is filed under the name uncultured bacterium. Its description in RNAcentral is "partial 16S ribosomal RNA". It matches the Rfam family "Bacterial small subunit ribosomal RNA", at positions 524 to 776 of the family's 1533-position model. The record is from RNAcentral.
UACAGAGGGUGCGAGCGUUAAUCGGAAUUACUGGGCGUAAAGCGUGCGUAGACGGUAGCGUAAGUCAGAUGUGAAAGCCCCGGGCUCAACCUGGGAGGUGCGCUUGAUACUCGAGGGCUUGAGUGCGGGAGAGGAGAGUGGAAUUCCCAGUGUAGAGGUGAAAUUCGUAGAUAUUGGGAAGAACACCGGUGGCGAAGGCGGCUCUCUGGACCGUAACUGACGCUGAGGCGCGAAAGCGUGGGGAGCAAACAGG